CCUACGGGUGGCAGCAGUGGGGAAUAUUGGACAAUGGGCGAAAGCCUGAUCCAGCCAUGCCGCGUGUGUGAAGAAGGCCUUCGGGUUGUAAAGCACUUUCAGUGGGGAAGAAAGCCUUGGGGCUAAUACCCUCGAGGAAGGACAUCACCCACAGAAGAAGCACCGGCUAACUCCGUGCCAGCAGCCGCGGUAAUACGGAGGGUGCGAGCGUUAAUCGGAAUUACUGGGCGUAAAGCGCGCGUAGGCGGUCUGAUAAGCCGGUUGUGAAAGCCCCGGGAUCAACCUGGGAACGGCAUCCGGAACUGUCAGGCUAGAGUGCAGGAGAGGAAGGUAGAAUUCCCGGUGUAGCGGUGAAAUGCGUAGAGAUCGGGAGGAAUACCAGUGGCGAAGGCGGCCUUCUGGACUGACACUGACGCUGAGGUGCGAAAGCGUGGGUAGCAAACAGGAUUAGAUACCCUUGUAGUC
This 465-nucleotide ribosomal RNA is filed under the name Vreelandella stevensii. Its description in RNAcentral is "partial 16S ribosomal RNA". It matches the Rfam family "Bacterial small subunit ribosomal RNA", at positions 338 to 795 of the family's 1533-position model. The record is from RNAcentral. Lineage: Bacteria; Pseudomonadati; Pseudomonadota; Gammaproteobacteria; Oceanospirillales; Halomonadaceae.